Molecule: long non-coding RNA, 6480 nt
Filed under: Coffea arabica (coffee)
Lineage: Eukaryota; Viridiplantae; Streptophyta; Magnoliopsida; Gentianales; Rubiaceae
Description: long non-coding RNA (CARA_LNC002845)
Source: RNAcentral
CAAUUUAAGGUUUAAAUCACUAGAAACCAAGUUCCUUAGAUUAUCAAACAAGAUGUGAAAUUCCAGCAACCCUUUCUUACAUUUCUCUUCGAGAUUUAUCAAGUUUAUCAGCUCAAAACAAGGGAAAUAUAUAUGUACACCAAAAUUAAUGUCUUGUGAGGUGUCUAAGCUAAGAUUAAACCAUUUUCAACCCAAAAUUUAAAGAUUAAGGCUAGUGAACUUUUCAUUUAUUCCCUCUAGGCUAAACCAGAUUCCAGUCAGCUUGUUGUUUAAAUUUUCUCAAAUUUCACCUGCUUUUCAAGUCUUAAAAUCAAUAAAAUGUACAUGAGAGACAAGCAAAAGGUGAUAUAAUAUGUUUUACACGAGAUUACAGCCAAUUAUCAUUGAAUUUUCGGAAAUAACAUGAGAGUUUCAGCCUUCACUCUCUCGGCCAGCAAAAUAGAUUUUUCAGCAAAGUUACUACAAAAUUUUCAACAAAAUUUCCAACUUUUGCUCGUUUAAAACACCAAACACACAACAUACAUUCUAUCCAACAUACAAUAAAGCAAGUGACAUGUAAUUUCAGCAAAUAAUUCCACCAAGAAACCACAAAUAAAUCUAUCACCGGCUAAACAAAAUUUUCAGCAAUUUACCAAGACAUAUUACAUGCUUUCUAUGCAAAGGAAUCCAGCAAAAUUCUCAAGUAUCAAGCCAUCUUUCACAGGUUCAAGGAAACUGAAAAUUUAGUAAGAAACACGAAAUUUCUCUUCACAAACCCCAUUCUUUUCUGCCCAAACUCAACAUGCAUCCCGAGAGCUUGAACGUAGCAGAAGAAGGAAGAGUUUUAAGACCAUUUUUACCUCUUGAUUUUCACAAAACAAAGCUGAAAUGAAGCAAAAUCUUCCUUCUCACCCUCGGUUCCCUUUCCCUCGGUUUCAAGGAUGCAAUAGAGCAAAGUUCCCUUAGCCUUUUCUUUCUUCCUAUCGACUUCAAGACAAUGGAAACGGAGCAAGUUUUCUCAAGCAUCUCUCAAUUUUUUUUUUCUCUUGGAUUAAAACUUUGGAAAUUGGAAGGAAUUCUCUAAACUCUCAAACUCUCUGUGACGCCCCCACUUCUCCCAAGGGCGAACCCAAGGGUAUCGGCGGGAUGCCUGCCCAACGCUUGCCAGGACUCGAUACGAUCCAUAAUUCAAAACUAUAAAUACUUCAAAUACUUCAAUUACAUAAUUAAAGUACUCCAAAACAUUUCACACUUACAAUCAGAUAGCCCUCAAGCUUAAUACAAUCCAAAAGAAUAUGUACUACAACCAUCCGUUAUAAUACAACUUAAGAUCUUCAAAAAAAAGCAAUCUAGUACUAUUCACGGGCACUCUUGGUCUCGGACCCUGUAAAAGAAAUCCACGACGUGGUAUGAGCUACACAACCCAGUGAGAUUCCAAAACACUUUAGCAGUUCUAAUAAAUCAAGUAAAGAGAGCAUACCACAUGUAUGGUUCGGGGUUGCACAUUGGUACAUGAACAUGAGACAAAUAUCAGUAUACGAAUACUUUGAACAUAUCACAGGUAUGACUCAAGAUUUGCACGUUGGCACAUUUGCAUAAAAUGGUUAUUACUAUGCAAAGUUAAACACAUAUUGAAGGAUACGGUGUUCCAGUGGAACCAUUUCGGUUAUCUGCACUUUAUGACUUCCGGAUCCCCUCGAUUUGUCUGGCCAUCACCUUAUCCCUCCAGUGGUAAUACUCGAGUAUACCGAAACGGUGGCUCAGGGUUCCAACCUACCUGAUCGAGCCCAGUCCUGGAUCGAGUAGGUCAGUAACCAAGGGCAGGACCCAAGUUCAGCUUAGAGCUUACAACUUGCACACGUAAUCACGUAAACCGAUGAACGGUAAAAAUCUAUCAUUUUGGGUAGGCCGAGUGAGAUAAAAUACACACUCACCCUAAAAUGAUGGACAAUUCCAUAUGAGUAAUUAUAGGUAACACUUAACAUCCAAACCCGUAAGAAAUAUGCCAUAAUUUCAUAUGAACACGGAAUUCAUGGUAAUCAAAUAACCAAGUAGUCAAGUAAAUCUGUAAACAGUAGUAAUCAAAUAAAUCGGUAUACGGUAGGUAUUUAUGAUUAACGGUAAACGGUAAUCGGUAAUUGGUAAUCGGUAGACAUUUGUCAUUUUAAUAGGCCGCUAUUGACCAUUUCUCAUAUUUAUCACUUAAGAGUUGAGGAGAUUCACUCCAACCUACUUAUGCAACCAUAGCAUAAUUGAUCAUUUAAACACUUCACGUAAAUAUGCAAUUCACAUAUUCCAUGUCGAGUAAUUCAAGUAUACGUAUUUCAAGUAUUUCAUGUCGAGUAAUUCAAGUAGUCACAUAAAUAUGCUUUUCAAGCAUUUCAUAGCAAGUAAUUCAAGUAUAUGCUACUUACAUAUGCGUAAGUGUGAUAAAUAUUUAACAUGUAGCACUUAACACUUAACACGUGAUGACCACAGAAUGACCAUGUCAUAGACUUAUGCAAAUUACGUAUUCCUAUAUGGAACACUCACCUAUUGCAACAAGAGAGUAACUACUCAAACAGGUGUCUAGGCGUCCGCUUCGAGUUCCUCUUGAAGGUCCCCUUGAGUGCCUGAACAAAUAACAAUCAACUAUUACACACUAUCGCUUAAAACCCUCUACUUAUUGAGAAAGAUUGUACCCAUGUACAAUCCAAGAAUAUUUCACGAGUACGAGUCCUAAUCACAUGCAAAUCGAGGCUCAAAAGUGGGGUUUCAAAGCAUAAGAGAAAUCGGGUUUUUAUAUUUGAAAUCAUGUGCAAAAGAUUUAAGUGAUAUCGAAGGAAAAAGGAGAAUUCGAAAAACUCUAUUUCCUUAAGUUUCGGAAAUUUCUGAUUGGAUACGAGAUUUUUGGAAAAUCAUAUCUCACUCUCUACAAGUCCAAAAUUGGAAAACUUUUUACCGUUGGAAACUACUUCCAAAGUACUAAAAGUUCUUAGAAUACACUUUUCCAUGAAUCUAAGUGGAAGGUAUUCAAAAAUGGGCUUAAAGUUACUAUUUCAGGUUACUUAGAGUUAUGCCGGGGUUGGUUUUUCGCUAACUUUGGAAAUUCGGUAAAAUUCAUACGUUGCAAACCAGCCUCCUAAAUUUCUAAAUCAAUUAGAGUUACAAGUAAGGUUUAGGACAGAACAAGAGGAUCAAGAAUCAGAGUUUUGAGCACCGAGAUAUGGUCGCUCAAAGUUGGAGGAAAAAAAACGAAACUGUUAAGCUAGUUUCCAGAUUUGAGUUCCAAACUUUGGGACUUUAAUUUGGUAGCGAAAUGGACUCGGAACGACACCAAAUUUGGUAUGAUUACACUACCAUAUAAGAGCUAUUCUUAUGUCAAAUUUCAUAGGAAAAUUUAUUCGGCAAGUUGGUUAACAAAACCAUCAAAGUUUCAAGAAUUUCUAAGGCAAAUCUGCCUUGUACUUCAAAUUUUCUUUUCUAAAACCUUUGGCCAAUAAAAUGCCUAAAACAUGUCUCAUUUGUGAUAACCAGGUCUAAUAAGAAUCCAAGAUACAUUCGGUAGGUGAUUAACACCAAGAAUUUCAAAACAACAAGUCCCAACCAAGGGUUAGGCCUUUACGAGCCAAAAGAGGAUUUUUACUCACUGCAUCAGUUUCGAAAUAUGGACACAACUCACUCAAUUCAACUCGGAAUUGAGCAUGGUUGAUGGCGUUGAAAAGAUAUUUCAUAAAUAUAGAAUUUUUCAGAAGAAACCAUUUCCAAAAUCUAUUCACAAGCAACUCGUUUUUGAGAAUAAAGUUACAGUUCAUGUCCUGCCUCCUGAAGAGCAACGAAACAGGACAGCAAUUUUCAAACGCAUGGUUUAGCUCACUCGAGUGGAACUAGGUCAUGAAUUUUAUACCAAUGGAAAGCUGGGAAUGUCUAGUUUCCAGUGCCACAAACGGCACUUGAUUUUGACAUCAGAGCAAAGAGUUAUGGCCAAUACCAAAUGACUGCCUGGGCAAUGCGGGAUUCAUUUUCCAGUUUUGCUAACUUUGGAAAUCAACUCAUUUGACCAACCAAAUCAUGUUAUUUUUCAAUGAAAUUUUUUUACACACUCAUAAUAACAUGUAAACAACAUAAUCAAGUCAUUAGAACCUCAAAAUUUAGCACAAAAGUGCCUGAAUAAGGCAGGGAUAAAACGGUCACUUUUGCUCCAAGCACCUCCUUUGAUUUUCUACCAACAAUACAACAUUAAUCCACUAAUAUAAGCACUAAACCACCAUUAAUUUCAUCAUCCAACAUCAAAUCAGUCCAUCCAUCAAAUGUGGGAGUUCAUAGAGCCCACACAACACAAAUCCACCAUAAACAAGACUACCCACAUGCAUGCAAGAGUUUAUACGUGUAAUACUACUUCCAUAAACCAAGAUUUUCAAGGUUGAUCGUUACCUACUUGUUUAGAUGUAGCAAGGCAGAAUUUUGAUCCCUUCUUUGCCCAAGAAAACCGUGGAUUGAAGCUCCUUUUCUUAGUUAGAUGUAAUCUCCAAGUGUUAAGCUAGGUGUAGUUAAAAUUUGGUAUGAUUUGGUGAAGGUUUUUGCAAGAUUUGGAGAUGAAAAUUUGAGAAACUUUGAGUUGUUUUUGCAGGUGAUGGUUCAGCCAAAGUGAGAGGGAAAGAGAGAGAGUGUGAUGCUGAAAUAAAGCUCCUAAAGUAAGCUUAAAUGUGUGGUCACAAUUCACCCAAAAGUCAACUCUCUCUUGCACAUGUAUGCGCGCGUUUUGGACUCGAUUUCUCUCGAGUUUAUUUCACUAGUGCACUAAACCUUCAAUACACUUAUAUCAAUAUUAUUAUUAUUUACUCUUAGUUGUCCCAAAAUAAGGGUCUAAAGUUCCUCAAUUAAAUCGCGCGCGUAAAAACGCGUACUUCCAAUUUAUGCGCAAUAAGGCGAAAUUUCUAAGAAAUUCUUAUAACGAUAUUACUAAUAAUUAUCAUUUGAGUACUUAAACAUAAAAUUACCUAUUUUUGGAUCAUUAUACAAGUCUCCAAUUUUUCAAAUUUAUUGUGCUAUCAAACGGUUAAAAUUUCCAAACGCAUUUCCACUUUUUCACUAAACGAGCUUCCAAAAAUUAAUUUUUGAAACAAGUCACUUUUAAAAUAUAACAAAGUUAUAGAUCCAUGUAAUUAGGUCUAAGGAGGUUAGAAAAUAAUAUUCGGAGAAAAUGGGUAAGCAAAUAAUUAAUUAAGCCAUAAAAAUUGAAUUAUAAGUGAUAAAAAUUCGGGUCCUCACAACCUCCCCUCCUUAAAAGAAUUUCGUCCUCGAAAUUCAUACUUUCUGUAAUCUCAGAUAACCCUGAACCUUGUUGUGUGAUCAUUUCAUGCGUUCUUGCGGAUGCCACUGGUCGGUUUUCUCCCCCAUUGAUUUGUCGAGAGAUAGUUCCAUUUUCUUGUUGAGUAGUAAUUCCUCGGGGAUACCUCCUUAGACAGUCGUGAACUUUAUGGUUGGUGCUCCCACAUCCCAUACAUUUUUGCCCCUUUAGCCAGCAAUUUUCUUCAAUAUGAUUCGUCCUUUCACAAUAUCCAUAAGUCGGACGAGACACUGUGACCUGACUUGCUUGUGAGAUCCUCUUUGACUGCAUUUGUCCUACUAGAGCUCUUCGUGACGUAGUCCCUUUUGGUUCCUUUAUCAUGAGUGGUGCAGGAAGUGAUAGUCCUACUCCAUCCACUCCUUUUCUUACUUUGGGUGGUGGUUCAAUUUCUCUUAGUCUAUUAUCAGAUAUAUCCCUUUUCCUCGCUUGAAAGUCUCUCAGUUGGGAUUUGGUGUUUUCCACCCUUUGCGCUUUCUCAAGAGCGUCACUAAAUGUUUCAAUCUGUGCCGCGGCAAGGGCAUCUUGGAUUUCUAAAUUUAAUCCUUGGAUAAACCGUCUUAUUCUCUUCCGUUCCGUAGCCACCAAUGCUGGAGCAUAUGUAGAUAAUUUCGUGAAACGUGUUUCGUACUCAGCCACACUUAAAGUUCCUUGACGAAGUUUUAUAAAAUCGUCUUCUCUCUUUUCUUGGACAAGCGAAGGAAGAAAUUUCUCAUUAAACUCUCUUACAAAGUUUAUCCAAGUCUUUGGAGUUUGAUCGCUUUCCCACUUAUUUCUUAUAACAGAUCUAGCUAUUAGAAUACUGCCGAUCAUUAUUUAAUUUCAAUUUAAGACACUAAAAUUGGAAUACUUUUCAUUUGAUUUCGAAAACUUUUGAUAAGAACUCAUAAGUCAAGUUUAAUUCAAAUUAAUUAUUUUGACUGACUGUUUUUACGUAAAUUAUAAGUAGAAAGGCCGUAGGAACUAGAAUGAAUAGUGCAGUAGCAAUAAAUGCAAGAAUAUUUACUUCCAUAAUCUAAUCUUUUUUUUUCUUUCGCAAUAACUCGGGAUUUAAUCCCAUAGAGAUGUUAAACCUUUCGCCUGUAAAUUCAAUGAAUGAAUUACCUCUCGAUGGUUUUGAAUCGGAUCAAUAUCAUGAAUAACAAUAUCUGAGCUAUCAAAUAAAUUCGUCGUCA